This 449-nucleotide long non-coding RNA is filed under the name Equus asinus (donkey). RNAcentral describes it as "lncRNA (ENSEASG00005035683.1)". Lineage: Eukaryota; Metazoa; Chordata; Mammalia; Perissodactyla; Equidae. The record is from RNAcentral.
AGACUUCUGAAGCUGGCACCUCAUAACCGCAGGCCCUGCCUGGAGCUUCCCCGGUCAGUCCACGAGGAACGGGGAGCCGCUAGAGGACUUCAAACAAGCAUGCAGGAGGUGCUCAAUAUGUGUUUCCUGAUCAGCACACCAGCUGUCUCCUCCAUCAGACCAAGAGUUCCUUGAGGACAGGGUUAUUUGACCUUUGUGUUCUCUAGUUCCUUCAGUUUCCCUCCAGGAACAGGCUGAUCACGGGCGGGAAACACACCUACAAAGUGUCCAUCACAGCUGACAAAGGAAUGGAACAGUAAAAGACCCUGGAGUCCAUCAGGACUGAAGUAAAUCCCCUCCUUACCCCCCAUUUUGCCUAUAUCUUCCUCAAGAUUCUGCAAUCCUUGAAGAUGGGUUUUUGAGACAUUAAUCUGCCAUCUUCCUGAUUGUGACAGCUAAUUGAAUUAAAU